UACGUAGGCAGCAAGCGUUGUUCGGAGUUACUGGGCGUAAAGGGUGCGUAGGCGGCUUUCUAAGUUUGGUGUGAAAGCCCACGGCUCAACCGUGGAGGGUCAUUGGAAACUGGGGAACUUGAGUGCAGAAGAGAAAAGCGGAAUUCCACGUGUAGCGGUGAAAUGCGUAGAGAUGUGGAGGAACACCAGUGGCGAAGGCGGCUUUUUGGUCUGUAACUGACGCUGAGGCGCGAAAGCGUGGGGAGCAAACAGG
This 253-nucleotide ribosomal RNA is filed under the name uncultured prokaryote. RNAcentral describes it as "partial 16S ribosomal RNA". It matches the Rfam family "Bacterial small subunit ribosomal RNA", at positions 524 to 776 of the family's 1533-position model. The record is from RNAcentral.